UGUGUACUCCCUCCGUUCCAAAAUACUUGACUUUCAUUUGUCCAGAAAUGGAUGUACCUAUAUACUAAAACAUGUCUGGAUACAUCUAUAUUUUGACAAAUAGAAGGCAUGUAUUGUGGAACAGAGGGAGUAGAAU
Molecule: non-coding RNA, 136 nt
Organism: Triticum aestivum (bread wheat)
Lineage: Eukaryota; Viridiplantae; Streptophyta; Magnoliopsida; Poales; Poaceae
Source: Rfam